AAAUUAUUGCCAGAUUAGUUAAAGGGGUUAGGCCGGGCAUAGUCACCAAUACAGCUUCCUGUAGUGGUUAUGAUGCCAGGAGUACCCUAGCACAUUUCCCGGUAAUGGGGCAAACUGUUUAGCAAUGGUUUAUCCCCUUACCUAGGUCCCUGCCGGGCUCUGCGGCUGACUGGUGGUACAGUAAGGCACUUCUGGCUUUUGCAGAGCUGUAGACGCAGUAGCAAUCGCCAUUCAUUGGUUUGGAGACUCAGCUGACUGCCUUUAACCAAUGACUGUCUUUCAGUGCAAUGAAACGUGCCCAGAUUUGAGAAUUGCUGGGCUUCAACUCUAGUUCUGGUCUUUCUCAUGAUACCUCAGUGAUUCUUCUGGAGGUGGAUUUGCACCUCUGGCAGCAAAGGAGUUAAACUCCAUAUGUGCAACAUUUAAUAGUAAAGCUGUCUGCACAUACAGACUUCAUGCACCAUGACUACUUCAAAUUAUUGAAGUGGUCGUGGUGCUUGGACCAACCUUUUAAAUGUACAAUUGAUAUUCACAUUUCAUAGCAAAUGUAGGCAGUCAUAUGGAUAGACACACCUUAACCAGAG
Molecule: non-coding RNA, 584 nt
Organism: Pelobates cultripes (western spadefoot toad)
Lineage: Eukaryota; Metazoa; Chordata; Amphibia; Anura; Pelobatidae
Source: the annotation of a GenBank genome assembly